GGCCUACGGGUGGCUGCAGUAGGGAAUAUUGGUAAUCUGGGAAACCGGGAACCAGCAACGCCGCGUGCACGAUGAAGGCCUUCGGGUUGUAAAGCACUUUUUGAGAGGAUGAGGAAGGACGGUACUCUCAGAAUAAGUCUCGGCUAACUACGUGCCAGCAGCCGCGGUAACACGUAGGAGGCAAACGUUAUCCGGAUUUACUGGGCGUAAAGCGCGUGUAGGUGGUUUGGUAAGUAGGGCGUGAAAGCUCCUGGCUCAACUGGGAGAGGACGUCCUAAACUGCCAAGCUUGAGGAUGGUAGAGGGAGGUGGAAUUCCGGGUGUAGCGGUGGAAUGCGCAGAUAUCCGGAGGAACACCAGUGGCGAAGGCGGCCUCCUGGACCACUCCUGACACUCAGACGCGAAAGCUAGGGUAGCAAACGGGAUUAGAUACCCUUGUAGUC
This 442-nucleotide ribosomal RNA is filed under the name uncultured bacterium. Its description in RNAcentral is "bacterial SSU rRNA". It matches the Rfam family "Bacterial small subunit ribosomal RNA", at positions 335 to 795 of the family's 1533-position model. The record is from RNAcentral.